This 306-nucleotide unclassified non-coding RNA is filed under the name fungal sp. RNAcentral describes it as "partial internal transcribed spacer region". The stretch from base 1 to 46 matches the Rfam family "Eukaryotic small subunit ribosomal RNA", at positions 1786 to 1831 of the family's 1831-position model. The record is from RNAcentral. Lineage: Eukaryota; Fungi.
AAGUCGUAACAAGGUUUCCGUAGGUGAACCUGCGGAAGGAUCAUUAACACUUUUAAUUGAUGGUUUUCCUUUUUUCUUUCUUUAACACGAAAAAAAAAGGACAAGCCUAAUCCAAACCAAAUUACCCAAACUUUUUUACAAAGUGCUGGUGUUUUGCAAAAUUCAUUUUUUGCGAAACCAUUUUUUCUUUUUUUCUUUAAACAAAAACCCCAAAUCUUUCAUUGCAAAUGCAAUUGACAAUCUUAAAAAUACAAAAUAACUACUAAUGUAACCAAACAACUCUUAGCAACGGAUAUCUUGGCUCUC